CGUCUAUUACUUGCAGUCAGUAACAAAGAUUCAUCCUUGUGUCCGUCAAGCAGCAAGGGGGAUCUUUGUCACUUGGUGUAAUUAAUAGCUGCUC
This is a non-coding RNA of Myotis lucifugus (little brown bat), 94 nucleotides long. Lineage: Eukaryota; Metazoa; Chordata; Mammalia; Chiroptera; Vespertilionidae. The record is from Rfam.